GGAAGUGAACCAUCUCAGUACCCCCAGGAAGAGAAAACAAGAGUGAUUCCGUCAGUAGCGGCGAGCGAACGCGGAAGAGCCCAAACCGUGCAGGCGUGAUAGCCCGUGAGCGUUGCCUGUGCGGGGUUGAGGGACGUUGCUUGGUCCGGUCACGGCCGGUCCGGGAAGUUACAAAUCACCAGCCUAGUCGAAAGCGUCUGGAACGAACUGCCAUAGAGGGUGAUAGCCCCGUAGGCGAAAGGUUGGUGACUUCCUUGUAGCGCUCCCGAGUACCACGGGGCACGUGAAACCCUGUGGGAAGCUGGGUCGACCAUGACCCAAGGCUAAAUACUCCUCUGCGACCGAUAGUGAACAAGUACCGUGAGGGAAAGGUGAAAAGCACCCCUGUUAGGGGAGUGAAAUAGUACCUGAAACCGUGUAUCUACAAGCAGUGGAAGCGCUAUGGCCCUCGUGGUCACGCGCGACCGCGUGCCUUUUGCAUAAUGAGCCGGCUAGUUA
This 498-nucleotide ribosomal RNA is filed under the name uncultured Acidobacteriota bacterium. Its description in RNAcentral is "bacterial LSU rRNA". It matches the Rfam family "Bacterial large subunit ribosomal RNA", at positions 189 to 630 of the family's 2925-position model. Lineage: Bacteria; Pseudomonadati; Acidobacteriota. The record is from RNAcentral.